AUUGAACGCUGGCGGAAUGCUUUACACAUGCAAGUCGAACGGUAGAGGGGGCAACCCCUUGAGAGUGGCGAACGGGUGAGUAAUAUAUCGGAACGUGCCCAGUCGUGGGGGAUAACGUAGCGAAAGUUACGCUAAUACCGCAUACGAUCUAAGGAUGAAAGCGGGGGAUCGCAAGACCUCGCGCGAUUGGAGCGGCCGAUAUCAGAUUAGGUAGUUGGUGGGGUAAAGGCUCACCAAGCCAACGAUCUGUAGCUGGUCUGAGAGGACGACCAGCCACACUGGAACUGAGACACGGUCCAGACUCCUACGGGAGGCAGCAGUGGGGAAUUUCGGACAAUGGGCGCAAGCCUGAUCCAGCAAUGCCGCGUGCAGGAUGAAGGCCUUCGGGUUGUAAACUGCUUUGUACGGAACGAAAGACUCUGGUAAUACCUGGGUUC
Molecule: ribosomal RNA, 437 nt
Filed under: uncultured bacterium
Lineage: Bacteria
Description: bacterial SSU rRNA
Rfam family: Bacterial small subunit ribosomal RNA
Source: RNAcentral